This is a long non-coding RNA of Chinchilla lanigera (long-tailed chinchilla), 544 nucleotides long. Ensembl lists it as uncharacterized. NCBI's taxonomy places the organism in Eukaryota, Metazoa, Chordata, Mammalia, Rodentia, Chinchillidae. The record is from Ensembl.
ACUCUUUCUAGUCUAACAAGGUUCCUACCAUGUCUCUGUAUAAACAGCUGCCUAAUGAGGUAACUGGUACAGGAAUUCUGACAGGCAGUGGAUCAGAGUCAGGAAGCCUACCUGCUCUCCCCCAAGAUGUAUCACUGUUUCUAGGUGUUUUCAAGCAGCAAAACAAGAGAAGUCCAAGCCUAAAGUCCUCAGAACUGGAGAAGCCAAUAGUGAAAAUCUCACUCUGAGGCCGGAGGCCUGAGACUCUUCAAGAGCAGAUGGGCAACGGUGUAAUUCCUGAAGUCUAGAUGGUGAACCCGAAGCUCUCAUGUACAAGGGCGGGAGAAAUGCCCCAGCUCCAGAAGAGAGAGUAAAUUUGCUCUUCCUCUACCUGUGUGCUCUGUCUGCGUCUGCAGCAGUGAGGGCGCUGCCUGCCCAGCUUGAUGGUGGGUCUUCUACAGUCUGCUGACUCUCAUGCCGAUCUCCCCUAGAAGCAGCCUCAGACACACAAAUAAAAAUACUGCUCUAUCAUCUUUUAAGUGUCCCUUAGUCAAGUUUGUACCUA